AUUGAACGCUGGCGGCAUGCCUUACACAUGCAAGUCGAACGGUAACGGGCCUUCGGGUGCCGACGAGUGGCGAACGGGUGAGUAAUACAUCGGAACGUGCCCGAUCGUGGGGGAUAACGAGGCGAAAGCUUUGCUAAUACCGCAUACGAUCUACGGAUGAAAGCAGGGGACCGCAAGGCCUUGCGCGGACGGAGCGGCCGAUGGCAGAUUAGGUAGUUGGUGGGAUAAAAGCUUACCAAGCCGACGAGCUGUAGCUGGUCUGAGAGGAUGAUCAGCCACACUGGGACUGAGACACGGCCCAGACUCCUGCGGGAGGCAGCAGUGGGGAAUUUUGGACAAUGGGCGCAAGCCUGAUCCAGCCAUGCCGCGUGCAGGAUGAAGGCCUUCGGGUUGUAAACUGCUUUUGUACGGAACGAAAAGCCUUCUUUUAAUACAGGAGGGUCAUGACGGUACCGUAAGAAUAAGCACCGGCUAACUACGUG
This 482-nucleotide ribosomal RNA is filed under the name uncultured bacterium. RNAcentral describes it as "partial 16S ribosomal RNA". It matches the Rfam family "Bacterial small subunit ribosomal RNA", at positions 30 to 507 of the family's 1533-position model. The record is from RNAcentral.